UCCUACGGGAGGCAGCAGUGGGGAAUUUUGGACAAUGGGGGCAAGCCUGAUCCAGCCAUGCCGCGUGGGUGAAGAAGGCCUUCGGGUUGUAAAGCCCUUCGUCGGGGAAGAAGUCCAGGUGGUUAAUACCUUGGGGAAGACGGUACCCGAAGAAGAAGCACCGGCUACUUUG
Molecule: ribosomal RNA, 172 nt
Filed under: uncultured bacterium
Lineage: Bacteria
Description: partial 16S ribosomal RNA
Rfam family: Bacterial small subunit ribosomal RNA
Source: RNAcentral